GUGGGGAAUAUUGCACAAUGGACGAAAGUCUGAUGCAGCAACGCCGCGUGGAGGAUGACACAUUUCGGUGCGUAAACUCCUUUUAUAUAGGAAGAUAAUGACGGUACUAUAUGAAUAAGCACCGGCUAACUCCGUGCCAGCAGCCGCGGUAAUACGGAGGGUGCAAGCGUUACUCGGAAUCACUGGGCGUAAAGAGCGUGUAGGCGGGUAUAUAAGUCAGAAGUGAAAUCCAAUAGCUCAACUAUUGAACUGCUUUUGAAACUGUAUACCUAGAAUGUGGGAGAGGUAGAUGGAAUUUCUGGUGUAGGGGUAAAAUCCGUAGAGAUCAGAAGGAAUACCGAUUGCGAAGGCGAUCUACUGGAACAUUAUUGACGCUGAGACGCGAAAGCGUGGGGAGCAAACAGG
Molecule: ribosomal RNA, 405 nt
Filed under: uncultured bacterium
Lineage: Bacteria
Description: bacterial SSU rRNA
Rfam family: Bacterial small subunit ribosomal RNA
Source: RNAcentral